AGUGAACGCUGGCGGUAGGCCUAACACAUACAAGUCGAACGGCAGCACAGUAAGAGCUUGCUCUUACGGGUGGCGAGUGGCGGACGGGUGAGGAAUACAUCGGAAUCUACUUUUUCGUGGGGGAUAACGUAGGGAAACUUACGCUAAUACCGCAUACGACCUACGGGUGAAAGCAGGGGAUCUUCGGACCUUGCGCGAUUGAAUGAGCCGAUGUCGGAUUAGCUAGUUGGCGGGGUAAAGGCCCACCAAGGCGACGAUCCGUAGCUGGUCUGGGAGGAUGAUCAGCCACACUGGAACUGAGACACGGUCCAGACUCCUACGGGAGGCAGCAGUGGGGAAUAUUGGACAAUGGGCGCAAGCCUGAUCCAGCCAUACCGCGUGGGUGAAGAAGGCCUUCGGGUUGUAAAGCCCUUUUGUUGGGAAAGAAAAGCAGCAGGUUAAUACCCUGCUGUUCUGACGGUACCCAAAGAAUAAGCACCGGCUAACUUCGUG
Molecule: ribosomal RNA, 492 nt
Filed under: uncultured bacterium
Lineage: Bacteria
Description: partial 16S ribosomal RNA
Rfam family: Bacterial small subunit ribosomal RNA
Source: RNAcentral